This 429-nucleotide ribosomal RNA is filed under the name Chloroflexota bacterium. RNAcentral describes it as "Chloroflexi bacterium partial 16S ribosomal RNA". It matches the Rfam family "Bacterial small subunit ribosomal RNA", at positions 355 to 776 of the family's 1533-position model. The record is from RNAcentral. Lineage: Bacteria; Bacillati; Chloroflexota.
UGGGGAAUAUUGCACAAUGGGCGCAAGCCUGAUGCAGCCAUGCCGCGUGUAUGAAGAAGGCCUUCGGGUUGUAAAGUACUUUCAGCGGGGAGGAAGGGAGUAAAGUUAAUACCUUUACUCAUUGACGUUACCCGCAGAAGAAGCACCGGCUAACUCCGUGCCAGCAGCCGCGGUAAUACGGAGGGUGCAAGCUUUAAUCGGAAUUACUGGGCGUAAAGCGCACGCAGGCGGUUUGUUAAGUCAGAUGUGAAAUCCCCGGGCUCAACCUGGGAACUGCAUCUGAUACUGGCCAGCUUGAGUCUCGUAGAGGGGGGUAGAAUUCCAGGUAUAGCGGUGAAGUGCGUAGAGAUCUAGAGGAAUACCAGUGGCGAAGGCGGCCCCCUGGACGAAGACUGACGCUAAAGUGCGAAAGCGUGGGGAGCAAGCAGG